RNAcentral lists this long non-coding RNA (205 nucleotides) under Nicotiana benthamiana. RNAcentral's name for it is "long non-coding RNA (NBEN_LNC033538)". Lineage: Eukaryota; Viridiplantae; Streptophyta; Magnoliopsida; Solanales; Solanaceae. The record is from RNAcentral.
AUAACAAUACUGGUGCUCCUAAUAAAUCCUAUUUUUCUUUCUCAAAGAUGAUUAUUGAAAGAAUUAUUUUACCAGAAGAAUGGGGACUAAGUACUUUGAAAGACUGUCAAUAUGUACAUCCAGUACAAAAGAUUUUCAUUAACUACAAUUAUUGGGAUUAUGUUGAUGCCUUUUCAAAGACAUUAUUUUAUGAAAAUGAUGACCA